Molecule: transfer RNA, 71 nt
Filed under: Marmota monax (woodchuck)
Lineage: Eukaryota; Metazoa; Chordata; Mammalia; Rodentia; Sciuridae
Description: tRNA.Ala
Rfam family: tRNA (bases 6-66)
About the family: Transfer RNA (tRNA) molecules are approximately 80 nucleotides in length. Their secondary structure includes four short double-helical elements and three loops (D, anti-codon, and T loops).
Source: RNAcentral
GAGGCUGGGGCUCAGUGGCAGAGCACUUGCCUAGCAUGCGUGAGGCACUGGGUUCGAUCCCCAGCACCACA